This 460-nucleotide ribosomal RNA is filed under the name uncultured bacterium. RNAcentral describes it as "partial 16S ribosomal RNA". It matches the Rfam family "Bacterial small subunit ribosomal RNA", at positions 338 to 795 of the family's 1533-position model. The record is from RNAcentral.
CCUACGGGUGGCAGCAGUGAGGAAUAUUGGUCAAUGGACGAGAGUCUGAACCAGCCAAGUAGCGUGAAGGAUGACGGCCCUAGGGGUUGUAAACUUCUUUUAUAUGGGAAUAAAAUGUUCCACGUGUGGGAUUUUGUAUGUACCAUAUGAAUAAGGAUCGGCUAACUCCGUGCCAGCGGCCGCGGUAAUACGGAGGAUCCGAGCGUUAUCAGGAUUUAUUGGGUUUAAAGGGAGCGUAGGUGGAUUGUUAAGUAAGUUGUGAAAGUUUGCGGAUCAACCGUAAAAUGGCAGUUGAAACUGGCGGACUAGAGUUAAGUAGAGGUGGGCGGAAGUCGUGGUGUAGCGGUGAAAUGCGUAGAUAUAAGGAAGAACACCAAUGGCGAAGGCAGUUCACUGGACUGCAACUGACGCUGAGGCACGAAAGCGUGGGGAGCAAACAGGAUUAGAUACCCGGGUAGUC